RNAcentral lists this long non-coding RNA (902 nucleotides) under Sinocyclocheilus anshuiensis. Its description in RNAcentral is "lncRNA (ENSSANG00000028115.1)". The record is from RNAcentral. Lineage: Eukaryota; Metazoa; Chordata; Actinopteri; Cypriniformes; Cyprinidae.
GUUUAAAAGGGGAGAAAAGUUUCAGUACUUGGUGUGCAGUGCCGGUGGAGAAGUUGACAGAUCAAGCCUACAAUAAGUAGCGGAACACCGACAAGGGCUUUUUACAUUCAAGCGCUGUAUAUUGAAACUAAUCUGGAAGGUUUUCGGGAACCAUCUUAAAGAUGAAAUUCUUUCCCGCUGUCUUCGUAUUAAUUUCAGUUGCUGUGUGUGUUGCUCAGUUGAAUUUGGAGGCAACUGAUGGAGAAAAUGUUACCAUAUCCUUCAAAACGGCUGGACUGGAGAGAGCCGAUCAAGUGAAGAUAACUUUGACAAGAGGAAGUCAGAAAAAUCUUAUUGCGCAGUACUGUCGCUGUGCCCAUUGUGGAGACUGUGAUGCCGUGGAAACACCGGGAGUCUUACUGAGAAUUGAAGAAGGAACCUUAACUCUUCUACGUGUCCGCUCCAAUAACUCAGGCCUCUAUGAAGUAAUAAUCAUUGGAAAUAACAUGUCUGAGAUGAAAGUUACGCUCGUUGUCAGCAAACCACCAUUUUCCUCCAGUAGAGAGCCAAGACAAACCUCCAUCUCAAAACCUCCCAACUUCUCUGAAAGACACAGGCUAUAUGUAUUACCUGCUCUAGUUGUAUUCAUCCUGGGGGUCUUAGGGGUUUAUUUGCUCUAUAUAUGGAAGAGGGCAAGUAUUCAUUUUUUAUUAUUUUUUGUUUUUUUAUAUUGACAGAAAUUAGUUGCUAAUGUUCUAAUGAUCUAAGGCCGUAUUCACCAAAAAAUGUUAAGGCUAAAAGUUGCUCCUAAUGCAGAAACUUAAGUUUUGACGAUUCUAUAUAUUAUAAAAUAAGAAAUGCACAGAGUUAAGUUCAGUUCCAAAUUAUUUCUCUGGCUAGGAGAAAUACUUUAGAACCAAGCA